This 462-nucleotide ribosomal RNA is filed under the name uncultured bacterium. Its description in RNAcentral is "bacterial SSU rRNA". It matches the Rfam family "Bacterial small subunit ribosomal RNA", at positions 917 to 1382 of the family's 1533-position model. The record is from RNAcentral.
GAGCCCGCACAAGCAGUGGAGUAUGUGGUUUAAUUCGAUGCUACGCGAAGAACCUUACCAGAACUUGACAUCCCAAGAAGACCGAUGUAAUGUUGGUUGUGCCCGCAAGGGAGCUUGGAGACAGGUGGUGCAUGGUUGUCGUCAGCUCGUGUCGUGAGAUGUUGGGUUAAGUCCCGCAACGAGCGCAACCCUUACGGUUAGUUGCUACGAAAGAGCACUCUGACCGGACUGCCGUUGACAAAACGGAGGAAGGUGGGGAUGACGUCAAAUCAGCAUGCCCCUUACGUUCUGGGCUACACACGUACUACAAUGGCGCAAACAAAGAGAAGCAAAGCCGCGAGGCAGAGCAAAUCUCAUAAAAGGCGUCUCAGUUCAGAUUGCAGGCUGCAACCCGCCUGCAUGAAGUCGGAAUUGCUAGUAAUCGCGGAUCAGCAUGCCGCGGUGAAUACGUUCCCGGGCUUU